AGCUCCAAUAGCGUAUAUUAAAGUUGUUGCAGUUAAAAAGCUCGUAGUUGGAUUUCUGGUUUGAGCGUCCGGUCCGCUUCCUUUGGAAGUGUGUUACUAAGGAUGUUUGAGCCAUUUUUUGUGAGGAUGUUCUUCUGCCAUUAAGUUGGUGGUUGAAUAGACUUGCAUCGUUUACUGUGAAAAAAUUAGAGUGUUUAAAGCAGGCGUUUGCUCAUUGAAUACAUUAGCAUGGAAUAAUAAGAUACGACCUUGGUGGUCUAUUUUGUUGGUUUGCACACCAGGGUAAUGAUUAAUAGGGACAGUUGGGGGUAUUCAUAUUUCAGCGUCAGAGGUGAAAUUCUUGGAUCGCUGAAAGAUGAGCUUAGGCGAAAGCAUUUACCAAGGAUGUUUUCAUUA
Molecule: ribosomal RNA, 396 nt
Filed under: uncultured Pythiaceae
Lineage: Eukaryota; Oomycota; Peronosporomycetes; Pythiales
Description: SSU rRNA
Rfam family: Eukaryotic small subunit ribosomal RNA
Source: RNAcentral